RNAcentral lists this ribosomal RNA (2900 nucleotides) under Escherichia coli O22:H8. Its description in RNAcentral is "23S ribosomal RNA". It matches the Rfam family "Bacterial large subunit ribosomal RNA". Lineage: Bacteria; Pseudomonadati; Pseudomonadota; Gammaproteobacteria; Enterobacterales; Enterobacteriaceae. The record is from RNAcentral.
UUAAGCGACUAAGCGUACACGGUGGAUGCCCUGGCAGUCAGAGGCGAUGAAGGACGUGCUAAUCUGCGAUAAGCGUCGGUAAGGUGAUAUGAACCGUUAUAACCGGCGAUUUCCGAAUGGGGAAACCCAGUGUGAUUCGUCACACUAUCAUUAACUGAAUCCAUAGGUUAAUGAGGCGAACCGGGGGAACUGAAACAUCUAAGUACCCCGAGGAAAAGAAAUCAACCGAGAUUCCCCCAGUAGCGGCGAGCGAACGGGGAGCAGCCCAGAGCCUGAAUCAGUGUGUGUGUUAGUGGAAGCGUCUGGAAAGGCGCGCGAUACAGGGUGACAGCCCCGUACACAAAAAUGCACAUACUGUGAGCUCGAUGAGUAGGGCGGGACACGUGGUAUCCUGUCUGAAUAUGGGGGGACCAUCCUCCAAGGCUAAAUACUCCUGACUGACCGAUAGUGAACCAGUACCGUGAGGGAAAGGCGAAAAGAACCCCGGCGAGGGGAGUGAAAAAGAACCUGAAACCGUGUACGUACAAGCAGUGGGAGCACGCUUAGGCGUGUGACUGCGUACCUUUUGUAUAAUGGGUCAGCGACUUAUAUUCUGUAGCAAGGUUAACCGAAUAGGGGAGCCGAAGGGAAACCGAGUCUUAACUGGGCGUUAAGUUGCAGGGUAUAGACCCGAAACCCGGUGAUCUAGCCAUGGGCAGGUUGAAGGUUGGGUAACACUAACUGGAGGACCGAACCGACUAAUGUUGAAAAAUUAGCGGAUGACUUGUGGCUGGGGGUGAAAGGCCAAUCAAACCGGGAGAUAGCUGGUUCUCCCCGAAAGCUAUUUAGGUAGCGCCUCGUGAAUUCAUCUCCGGGGGUAGAGCACUGUUUCGGCAAGGGGGUCAUCCCGACUUACCAACCCGAUGCAAACUGCGAAUACCGGAGAAUGUUAUCACGGGAGACACACGGCGGGUGCUAACGUCCGUCGUGAAGAGGGAAACAACCCAGACCGCCAGCUAAGGUCCCAAAGUCAUGGUUAAGUGGGAAACGAUGUGGGAAGGCCCAGACAGCCAGGAUGUUGGCUUAGAAGCAGCCAUCAUUUAAAGAAAGCGUAAUAGCUCACUGGUCGAGUCGGCCUGCGCGGAAGAUGUAACGGGGCUAAACCAUGCACCGAAGCUGCGGCAGCGACACUAUGUGUUGUUGGGUAGGGGAGCGUUCUGUAAGCCUGUGAAGGUGUGCUGUGAGGCAUGCUGGAGGUAUCAGAAGUGCGAAUGCUGACAUAAGUAACGAUAAAGCGGGUGAAAAGCCCGCUCGCCGGAAGACCAAGGGUUCCUGUCCAACGUUAAUCGGGGCAGGGUGAGUCGACCCCUAAGGCGAGGCCGAAAGGCGUAGUCGAUGGGAAACAGGUUAAUAUUCCUGUACUUGGUGUUACUGCGAAGGGGGGACGGAGAAGGCUAUGUUGGCCGGGCGACGGUUGUCCCGGUUUAAGCGUGUAGGCUGGUUUUCCAGGCAAAUCCGGAAAAUCAAGGCUGAGGCGUGAUGACGAGGCACUACGGUGCUGAAGCAACAAAUGCCCUGCUUCCAGGAAAAGCCUCUAAGCAUCAGGUAACAUCAAAUCGUACCCCAAACCGACACAGGUGGUCAGGUAGAGAAUACCAAGGCGCUUGAGAGAACUCGGGUGAAGGAACUAGGCAAAAUGGUGCCGUAACUUCGGGAGAAGGCACGCUGAUAUGUAGGUGAAGUCCCUCGCGGAUGGAGCUGAAAUCAGUCGAAGAUACCAGCUGGCUGCAACUGUUUAUUAAAAACACAGCACUGUGCAAACACGAAAGUGGACGUAUACGGUGUGACGCCUGCCCGGUGCCGGAAGGUUAAUUGAUGGGGUCAGCGCAAGCGAAGCUCUUGAUCGAAGCCCCGGUAAACGGCGGCCGUAACUAUAACGGUCCUAAGGUAGCGAAAUUCCUUGUCGGGUAAGUUCCGACCUGCACGAAUGGCGUAAUGAUGGCCAGGCUGUCUCCACCCGAGACUCAGUGAAAUUGAACUCGCUGUGAAGAUGCAGUGUACCCGCGGCAAGACGGAAAGACCCCGUGAACCUUUACUAUAGCUUGACACUGAACAUUGAGCCUUGAUGUGUAGGAUAGGUGGGAGGCUUUGAAGUGUGGACGCCAGUCUGCAUGGAGCCGACCUUGAAAUACCACCCUUUAAUGUUUGAUGUUCUAACGUUGACCCGUAAUCCGGGUUGCGGACAGUGUCUGGUGGGUAGUUUGACUGGGGCGGUCUCCUCCUAAAGAGUAACGGAGGAGCACGAAGGUUGGCUAAUCCUGGUCGGACAUCAGGAGGUUAGUGCAAUGGCAUAAGCCAGCUUGACUGCGAGCGUGACGGCGCGAGCAGGUGCGAAAGCAGGUCAUAGUGAUCCGGUGGUUCUGAAUGGAAGGGCCAUCGCUCAACGGAUAAAAGGUACUCCGGGGAUAACAGGCUGAUACCGCCCAAGAGUUCAUAUCGACGGCGGUGUUUGGCACCUCGAUGUCGGCUCAUCACAUCCUGGGGCUGAAGUAGGUCCCAAGGGUAUGGCUGUUCGCCAUUUAAAGUGGUACGCGAGCUGGGUUUAGAACGUCGUGAGACAGUUCGGUCCCUAUCUGCCGUGGGCGCUGGAGAACUGAGGGGGGCUGCUCCUAGUACGAGAGGACCGGAGUGGACGCAUCACUGGUGUUCGGGUUGUCAUGCCAAUGGCACUGCCCGGUAGCUAAAUGCGGAAGAGAUAAGUGCUGAAAGCAUCUAAGCACGAAACUUGCCCCGAGAUGAGUUCUCCCUGAGACUUUAAGUCUCCUGAAGGAACGUUGAAGACGACGACGUUGAUAGGCCGGGUGUGUAAGCGCAGCGAUGCGUUGAGCUAACCGGUACUAAUGAACCGUGAGGCUUAACCU